GUCGGACCGCAGAGCUUGCUCUCUGGCGACGAGUGGCGGACGGGUGAGUAAUACUUGGGAAUCUGCCCAGUAGUGGGGGACAACAUUCGGAAACGGAUGCUAAUACCGCAUACGCACUACGGUGGAAAGUGGGGGAUCUUCGGACCUCACGCUAUUGGAUGAGCCCAAGUCGGAUUAGCUUGUAGGUAGGGUAAUGGCCUACCUAGGCGACGAUCCGUAGCUGGUCUGAGAGGACGAUCAGCCACACUGGGACUGAGACACGGCCCAGACUCCUACGGGAGGCAGCAGUGGGGAAUAUUGGACAAUGGGCGCAAGCCUGAUCCAGCAAUGCCGCGUGUGUGAAGAAGGCCUGCGGGUUGUAAAGCACUUUCAGUAGAGAAGAAAAGCCUAGGGUUAAUACCCCUGAGUCUUGACGUAACCUACAGAAGAAGCACUGGCUAACUCCGUGCCAGCAACCGCGGUAAUACGGAGGGUGCGAGCGUUAAUCGGAAUUACUGGGCGUAAAGCGCGCGUAGGCGGUUUUGUUAGUCGGAUGUGAAAUCCCCGGGCUUAACCUGGGAACUGCAUUCGAUACUGCUUAACUAGAGUAUGGUAGAGGGAAGUGGAAUUUCCGGUGUAGCGGUGAAAUGCGUAGAUGUCGGAAGGAACAC
RNAcentral lists this ribosomal RNA (650 nucleotides) under uncultured bacterium. RNAcentral's name for it is "bacterial SSU rRNA". It matches the Rfam family "Bacterial small subunit ribosomal RNA", at positions 61 to 709 of the family's 1533-position model. The record is from RNAcentral.